GGGAAGGUAGCUCAGUGGUAGAGUGCUUGCCUUGCAUGCAUGAGGCCCUGGGUUCGAUUCCUCAGCACCCCA
This 72-nucleotide transfer RNA is filed under the name Dipodomys ordii (Ord's kangaroo rat). It matches the Rfam family "tRNA". Rfam says of the family: Transfer RNA (tRNA) molecules are approximately 80 nucleotides in length. Their secondary structure includes four short double-helical elements and three loops (D, anti-codon, and T loops). Lineage: Eukaryota; Metazoa; Chordata; Mammalia; Rodentia; Heteromyidae. The record is from Rfam by way of RNAcentral.